UCUGGCACACAAAGUAGGUGAGU
Molecule: non-coding RNA, 23 nt
Filed under: Cricetulus griseus (Chinese hamster)
Lineage: Eukaryota; Metazoa; Chordata; Mammalia; Rodentia; Cricetidae
Source: RNAcentral